CGAAAGUUGUCAUAGCUUGGUCAAGUUGGCACCAUCCUCUGCUUUAUUUCAAAAUUUGUGGAAGCUGUCUAUAUCUAGAUGUCAUCAACUCGUCUAUUUGGUGACAAGUUCAACCGCCAAAAGCUUGGUGAGUCUUAGAUGGUUGUCGAUAGACAAUUGCAAAAGGAUGGAGGAAAUUGUACCGAAUGAGAACAAUGAAGGUGUACAAGGUGGAAUCACAUUUAACCAAUUGUCGUGGAUCAAACUUACUGAUAUGCCAAGAUUGAAGAUGUUCUCUUCACAAAGUCAGACAUUUGAAUUCCCUGAAUUAGAAGAGAUAGAAAUAACCAGAUGUCUUGAAAUGAAGGUGUUUUGUCCAGGAGUAUUGGAAACACCAAAGUUGUCUAGAGUAAAAAUUGAAGAGCAUGAGAUGAAAUGGAAGGAUAAAGAAGACCUUAACAAAACAGUAGAAAUGCUAUUCUCAGCAAAGGAUAGUGUUAAUAUAUAGAAGGAUAAGUCCAUCAUCCAUGUUACCAUUCUUUCCAGGCGGCUAAUCCGAAGUGUGGACUGCAAAAUCAUUGACUGCAAGAUGACGAAUAUGGACAGAUAUUUGUACGGU
This is a long non-coding RNA of Neltuma alba, 598 nucleotides long. RefSeq lists it as uncharacterized. The record is from RefSeq and is a predicted model, not a curated record. NCBI's taxonomy places the organism in Eukaryota, Viridiplantae, Streptophyta, Magnoliopsida, Fabales, Fabaceae. The transcript is spliced from 3 exons.